UCAUCAGAGGACCAUGGCCCCGUAUCACCUGGGUCAGGCACUGAAGCUGGGACAGGAGAGCAGAGACUUCCAAAAUGAGGGAUCCCUGUGUUCUGAGGUGAUCAUGACUGGGACCCAAGGACUCAAGCGCAUGCUCCAGAGGGAAUCGUUUCCCACAAGGCCUUUGGCAGGAACAGGGAUCCUGGGAGCCUGCCAAGCAGAGCGCACAGUGUUCCUGGAGUCUCGCUGCCCAGAUGCCACGGAAUCAGUUGAACAGUUAGAAAAAGCCCGGGCUAGGACCGAGGAGCAGGGUGAGGGAGGGGGUGGGAUGGGUGGGGGGUAACGGGGGAAACUGGGGAAGUGGGGAACCGAGGGGCAACCAGGGGAAGAUGGGGUGCUGGAGGAGAGCUUGUGGGAGCCAAGGAGCACCUUGGACAUCUGGAGUCUGGCAGGAGUGAUGACGGGUGGAGGGGCUAGCUCGAGGCAGGGCUGGUGGGGCCUGAGGCCAGUGAGGAGUGUGGAGUAGGCGCCCAGGCAUCGUGCAGACAGGGCGACAUCAGCUGGGGACGAUGGGCCUGAGCUAGGGCUGGAAAGAAGGGGGAGCCAGGCAUUCAUCCCGGUCACUUUUGGUUACAGGACGUGGCAGCUGGUUGGACGAGGGGAGCUGGUGGGCAGGGUUUGAUCCCAGGGCCUGGGCAACGGAGGUGUAGCUGGCAGCAGCGGGCAGGUGAGGACCCCAUCUGCCGGGCAGGUGAGUCCCUUCCCUCCCCAGGCCUCGCUUCCCCAGCCUUCUGAAAGAAGGAGGUUUAGGGGAUCGAGGGCUGGCGGGGAGAAGCAGACACCCUCCCAGCAGAGGGGCAGGAUGGGGGCAGGAGAGUUAGCAAAGGUGACAUCUUCUCGGGGGGAGCCGAGACUGCGCAAGGCUGGGGGGUUAUGGGCCCGUUCCAGGCAGAAAGAGCAAGAGGGCAGGGAGGGAGCACAGGGGUGGCCAGCGUAGGGUCCAGCACGUGGGGUGGUACCCCAGGCCUGGGUCAGACAGGGACAUGGCAGGGGACACAGGACAGAGGGGUCCCCAGCUGCCACCUCACCCACCGCAAUUCAUUUAGUAGCAGGCACAGGGGCAGCUCCGGCACGGCUUUCUCAGGCCUAUGCCGGAGCCUCGAGGGCUGGAGAGCGGGAAGACAGGCAGUGCUCGGGGAGUUGCAGCAGGACGUCACCAGGAGGGCGAAGCGGCCACGGGAGGGGGGCCCCGGGACAUUGCGCAGCAAGGAGGCUGCAGGGGCUCGGCCUGCGGGCGCCGGUCCCACGAGGCACUGCGGCCCAGGGUCUGGUGCGGAGAGGGCCCACAGUGGACUUGGUGACGCUGUAUGCCCUCACCGCUCAGCCCCUGGGGCUGGCUUGGCAGACAGUACAGCAUCCAGGGGAGUCAAGGGCAUGGGGCGAGACCAGACUAGGCGAGGCGGGCGGGGCGGAGUGAAUGAGCUCUCAGGAGGGAGGAUGGUGCAGGCAGGGGUGAGGAGCGCAGCGGGCGGCGAGCGGGAGGCACUGGCCUCCAGAGCCCGUGGCCAAGGCGGGCCUCGCGGGCGGCGACGGAGCCGGGAUCGGUGCCUCAGCGUUCGGGCUGGAGACGAGGGUGCACAACCAACACGUUCUCCCCACACGACUCUCUCGUUCUCCCCACAGCCAGGUCUCCAGCUGGGGUGGACGUGCCCACCAGCUGCCGAAGGCCAAGACGCCAGGUCCGGUGGACGUGACAAGCAGGACAUGACAUGGUCCGGUGUGACGGCGAGGACAGAGGAGGCGCGUCCGGCCUUCCUGAACACCUUAGGCUGGUGGGGCUGCGGCAAGAAGCGGGUCUGUUUCUUUACUUCCUCCACGGAGUCGGCACACUAUGGCUGCCCUCUGGGCUCCCAGAACCCACAACAUGAAAGGUGAGGGGCUUCCUGCCACACUUGGGGUGGGGGGCACGCGAGAGGAGCUGAGUGGGACCUCACUCCUUCCCCAUCCACAGAAAUGGUGCUACCCAGCUCAAGCCUGGGCCUUUGAAUCCGGACACAAAACCCUCUAGCUUGGAAAUGAAUAUGCUGCACUUUACAACCACUGCACUACCUGACUCAGGAAUCGGCUCUGGAAGGUGAGCACCAGCGCUCCUUCCGGAAGCCUCCAGGCCCCCGAGCACCCUGCCCCCAUCCCACCCACGUGUCGCUAUCUCUAGGUGAAGCUAGAGGAACCAGACCUCAUCAGCCCAACAUCAAAGACACCAUCGGAACAGCAGCGCCCGCAGCACCCACCCCGCACCGGCGACUCCAUCUUCAUGGCCACCCCCUGCGGCGGACGGUUGACCACCAGCCACCACAUCAUCCCAGAGCUGAGCUCCUCCAGCGGGAUGACGCCGUCCCCACCACCUCCCUCUUCUUCUUUUUCAUCCUUCUGUCUCUUUGUUUCUGAGCUUUCCUGUCUUUCCUUUUUUCUGAGAGAUUCAAAGCCUCCACGACUCUGUUUCCCCCGUCCCUUCUGAAUUUAAUUUGCACUAAGUCAUUUGCACUGGUUGGAGUUGUGGAGACGGCCUUGAGUCUCAGUACGAGUGUGCGUGAGUGUGAGCCACCUUGGCAAGUGCCUGUGCAGGGCCCGGCCGCCCUCCAUCUGGGCCGGGUGACUGGGCGCCGGCUGUGUGCCCGAGGCCUCACCCUGCCCUCGCCUAGUCUGGAAGCUCCGACCGACAUCACGGAGCAGCCUUCAAGCAUUCCAUUACGCCCCAUCUCGCUCUGUGCCCCUCCCCACCAGGGCUUCAGCAGGAGCCCUGGACUCAUCAUCAAUAAACACUGUUACAGCA
Molecule: long non-coding RNA, 2812 nt
Filed under: Homo sapiens (human)
Lineage: Eukaryota; Metazoa; Chordata; Mammalia; Primates; Hominidae
Description: long non-coding RNA NONHSAT160008.1
Rfam family: mir-675 microRNA precursor family (bases 1299-1371)
Source: RNAcentral